RNAcentral lists this ribosomal RNA (385 nucleotides) under uncultured bacterium. Its description in RNAcentral is "bacterial SSU rRNA". It matches the Rfam family "Bacterial small subunit ribosomal RNA", at positions 31 to 416 of the family's 1533-position model. The record is from RNAcentral.
GAACGCUGGCGGCAUGCCUUACACAUGCAAGUCGAACGGCAGCGCGGGAGCAAUCCCGGCGGCGAGUGGCGAACGGGUGAGUAAUAUAUCGGAACGUGCCCAGUAGUGGGGGAUAGCCCGGCGAAAGCCGGAUUAAUACCGCAUGAGACCUGAGGGUGAAAGCGGGGGACUCGCAAGAGCCUCGCGCUACUGGAGCGGCCGAUAUCAGAUUAGCUAGUUGGUGGGGUAAAAGCCUACCAAGGCAACGAUCUGUAGUUGGUCUGAGAGGACGACCAGCCACACUGGGACUGAGACACGGCCCAGACUCCUACGGGAGGCAGCAGUGGGGAAUUUUGGACAAUGGGCGCAAGCCUGAUCCAGCAAUGCCGCGUGCAGGAAGAAGGCC